AGUGAACGCUGGCGGUAGGCCUAACACAUGCAAGUCGAACGGCAGCACAGUAAGAGCUUGCUCUUACGGGUGGCGAGUGGCGGACGGGUGAGAAAUACAUCGGAAUCUACUUUUUCGUGGGGGCUAACGUAGGGAAACUUACGCUAAUACCGCAUACGACCUACGGGUGAAAGCAGGGGAUCUUCGGACCUUGCGCGAUUGAAUGAGCCGAUGUCGGAUUAGCUAGUUGGCGGGGUAAAGGCCCACCAAGGCGACGAUCCGUAGCUGGUCUGAGAGGAUGAUCAGCCACACUGGAACUGAGACACGGUCCAGACUCCUACGGGAGGCAGCAGUGGGGAAUAUUGGACAAUGGGCGCAAGCCGGAUCCAGCCAUACCGCGUGGGUGAAGAAGGACUUCGGGUUGUAAAGCCCUUUUGUUGGGAAAGAAAAGCAGCAGGUUAAUACCCCGCUGUUCUGACGGUACCCAAAGAAUAAGCACCGGCUAACUUCGUG
This 492-nucleotide ribosomal RNA is filed under the name uncultured bacterium. RNAcentral's name for it is "partial 16S ribosomal RNA". It matches the Rfam family "Bacterial small subunit ribosomal RNA", at positions 29 to 507 of the family's 1533-position model. The record is from RNAcentral.